RNAcentral lists this ribosomal RNA (253 nucleotides) under uncultured bacterium. RNAcentral's name for it is "partial 16S ribosomal RNA". It matches the Rfam family "Bacterial small subunit ribosomal RNA", at positions 524 to 776 of the family's 1533-position model. The record is from RNAcentral.
UCCGGAGGGUGCGAGCGUUAAUCGGAAUUACUGGGCGUAAAGCGCACGUAGGUGGUUGGGUAAGUCGGAUGUGAAAGCCAUGGGCUUAACCUGUGAACUGCAUUCGAUACUGCCCGGCUAGAGUAUGGGAGAGGGAAGCGGAAUUUCCGGUGUAGCGGUGAAAUGCGUAGAUAUCGGAAGGAACAUCAAUGGCGAAGGCAGCUUCCUUGCCCAAUACUGACGCUCAGGUGCGAAAGCGUGGGGAUCAAACAGG